AUGCACGCUGGCGGCGUGCCUCAUACAUGCAAGUCGCGUGAACAGACGAGGAGCUUGCUCCUCUGACGUUAGCGGCGGACGGGUGAGUAACACGUGGAUAACCUACCUAUAAGACUGGGAUAACUUCGGGAAACCGGAGCUAAUACCGGAUAAUAUAUUGAACCGCAUGGUUCAAUAGUGAAAGACGGUUUUGCUGUCACUUAUAGAUGGAUCCGCGCCGCAUUAGCUAGUUGGUAAGGUAACGGCUUACCAAGGCAACGAUGCGUAGCCGACCUGAGAGGGUGAUCGGCCACACUGGAACUGAGACACGGUCCAGACUCCUACGGGAGGCAGCAGUAGGGAAUCUUCCGCAAUGGGCGAAAGCCUGACGGAGCAACGCCGCGUGAGUGAUGAAGGUCUUCGGAUCGUAAAACUCUGUUAUUAGGGAAGAACAAAUGUGUAAGUAACUAUGCACGUCUUGACGGUACCUAAUCAGAAAGCCACGGCUAACUACGUG
Molecule: ribosomal RNA, 496 nt
Filed under: uncultured bacterium
Lineage: Bacteria
Description: partial 16S ribosomal RNA
Rfam family: Bacterial small subunit ribosomal RNA
Source: RNAcentral